This 596-nucleotide long non-coding RNA is filed under the name Phaseolus vulgaris (common bean). RNAcentral describes it as "long non-coding RNA (PVUL_LNC004820)". The record is from RNAcentral. Lineage: Eukaryota; Viridiplantae; Streptophyta; Magnoliopsida; Fabales; Fabaceae.
UUUUUCAUGAAGAAAAAAAUUGCUUAAGGUGCAGGGACGUCAUCAACCACCCCAAUCCCGAAUUAGGUUUCAGAUUCGUCAGUCUCCCUCUUCAACUCCAACGCCGCACCAAGCCGUUCAAGGAGACGACCACCGCGCCGCAACAGGCUUCAACCCCAAUGCCACACCGCGCCGCCAAAGAGUUCAUGAACUACGAACCAUCGCGCCCUUCCACGAACCACCACACCCUAGCACGAUCUCGUUCCUUUACGACGAUCGACACAACGACGAGAAGGAACCGGUAAGUGGUUGUGGCGAAGAUGCGGUUUCGCAUAGAAAGGCAGCUUCAGGGCACCAACACAAGGUUGUGGUGGCGACUUGCAUCCUUUACCAUCGAUGGAGAUGGACAAGCGACGACGGAGAAAAACGUGAGCAACGGUGGCUUGCGAUUUCGCGCUGGCAGCGACUCCGAUAAUUGGUUCGGGUACAGGGUGUUAACGCCGUUAAUGGCGUUGGGUGCAGAAAGAUUAGGGAUCUGUUGUUGAGAAAUGGAAACUUUGAUCCAUAAACCCUAAUUUUAAAAUUAGGAUUCUUCAAUUGGGAUUAAUUAAAUUGAG